GAUGACGCUGGCGGCGUGCCUAAUACAUGCAAGUCGAACGAGUUUUGGUCGAUGAACGGUGCUUGCACUGAGAUUCGACUUAAAACGAGUGGCGGACGGGUGAGUAACACGUGGGUAACCUGCCCUUAAGUGGGGGAUAACAUUUGGAAACAGAUGCUAAUACCGCAUAAAUCCAAGAACCGCAUGGUUCUUGGCUGAAAGAUGGCGCAAGCUAUCGCUUUUGGAUGGACCCGCGGCGUAUUAGCUAGUUGGUGAGGUAACGGCUCACCAAGGCGAUGAUACGUAGCCGAACUGAGAGGUUGAUCGGCCACAUUGGGACUGAGACACGGCCCAAACUCCUACGGGAGGCAGCAGUAGGGAAUCUUCCACAAUGGACGCAAGUCUGAUGGAGCAACGCCGCGUGAGUGAAGAAGGCUUUCGGGUCGUAAAACUCUGUUGUUGGAGAAGAAUGGUCGGCAGAGUAACUGUUGUCGGCGUGACGGUAUCCAACCAGAAAGCCACGGCUAACUACGUGCCAGCAGCCGCGGUAAUACGUAGGUGGCAAGCGUUAUCCGGAUUUAUUGGGCGUAAAGCGAGCGCAGGCGGUUUUUUAAGUCUGAUGUGAAAGCCCUCGGCUUAACCGAGGAAGCGCAUCGGAAACUGGGAAACUUGAGUGCAGAAGAGGACAGUGGAACUCCAUGUGUAGCGGUGAAAUGCGUAGAUAUAUGGAAGAACACCAGUGGCGAAGGCGGCUGUCUGGUCUGUAACUGACGCUGAGGCUCGAAAGCAUGGGUAGCGAACAGGAUUAGAUACCCUGGUAGUCCAUGCCGUAAAGGAUGAUGCUAGGUGUUGGAGGGUUUCCGCCCUUCAGUGCCGCAGCUAACGCAUUAAGCAUUCCGCCUGGGGAGUACGACCGCAAGGUUGAAACUCAAAGGAAUUGACGGGGGCCCGCACAAGCGGUGGAGCAUGUGGUUUAAUUCGAAGCAACGCGAAGAACCUUACCAGGUCUUGACAUCUUUUGAUCACCUGAGAGAUCAGGUUUCCCCUUCGGGGGCAAAAUGACAGGUGGUGCAUGGUUGUCGUCAGCUCGUGUCGUGAGAUGUUGGGUUAAGUCCCGCAACGAGCGCAACCCUUAUGACUAGUUGCCAGCAUUGAGUUGGGCACUCUAGUAAGACUGCCGGUGACAAACCGGAGGAAGGUGGGGAUGACGUCAAAUCAUCAUGCCCCUUAUGACCUGGGCUACACACGUGCUACAAUGGAUGGUACAACGAGUUGCGAGACCGCGAGGUCAAGCUAAUCUCUUAAAGCCAUUCUCAGUUCGGACUGUAGGCUGCAACUCGCCUACACGAAGUCGGAAUCGCUAGUAAUCGCGGAUCAGCACGCCGCGGUGAAUACGUUCCCGGGCCUUGUACACACCGCCCGUCACACCAUGAGAGUUUGUAACACCCGAAGCCGGUGGCGUAACCCUUUUAGGGAGCGAGCCGUCUAAGGUGGGACAAAUGAUUAGGGUGAAGUCG
This 1496-nucleotide ribosomal RNA is filed under the name Lacticaseibacillus casei. RNAcentral's name for it is "bacterial SSU rRNA". It matches the Rfam family "Bacterial small subunit ribosomal RNA". Lineage: Bacteria; Bacillati; Bacillota; Bacilli; Lactobacillales; Lactobacillaceae. The record is from RNAcentral.